This 381-nucleotide ribosomal RNA is filed under the name uncultured eukaryote. RNAcentral's name for it is "partial 18S ribosomal RNA". It matches the Rfam family "Eukaryotic small subunit ribosomal RNA", at positions 592 to 976 of the family's 1831-position model. The record is from RNAcentral.
CAAUAGCGUAUAUUAAAGCUGUUGCGGUUAAAAAGCUCGUAGUUGGAUUUCUGUCAAGGACAACUGGUCCGCCCUCCGGGUGAGCACAUAGUUUGGUCUUGACAUCUUGCUGGAAGCUGUCGCUGCACUUGGCUGUGUGGCGCAGUGUUCAGCACUUUCACUUUGAGGAAAUUGGAGUGUUUCAAGCAGGCACAUGCCUUUGGACACAGUAGCAUGGAAUAAUUAGAUUGGGCUUUUGCUCCAAUUUGUCGGUUUCUGGAGCUGAGGUGAGUAUUAAUGGGGAUUGUUGGGGGCAUCCGAAUUUAGCCGUCAGAGGUGAAAUUCUUGGAUCUGCUAAAGACGGACAACUGCGAAAGCGUUUGCCCAGGAUGUUUUCAUUGA